UUCUUUUUUUUUUUUUUUUUUGCUUUUUUUGAGCUGUACCCACAGCAUAUGGAGGGUCCCAGGCUAGGGGUUGAAUUGGAGCUACCGUUGGUAGCCUAUGUCACAGCCACAGCACUGCAGGAUCCAAGGAGUGUCUGCAACCUAUGCCACAGCUCAUGGCAAUGCUAGAUCCCUGACCCACUGAGUUAGGGCAGAGAUGGAACUGGCAUCCUCACAUAUAUUAGUCGGGUUUCUGCUGCGCCAGAACAGGAACUCCCAUAUUUUCUUUUUAAGGCAGAACAUAGUUAUCACUUCUUUCUUUUGGUUAAUGUCUAAAUAAAUCAUGUAAUAUGUAUGCACAUCAACUUAGUAUUUCACACAUAAUAGUAAGCAUGAGGUAUAAAAUACUAUUUAUCUGAACAUGAUCUUUAUUCCUGAAUUCUUUCUUUCAUACUCUUAACCCUUGAGAGUUUCCAAAUCCUGCUGAGCUCUUGUCUCUUUGGGGAAGGUGUUCAGGAUCUGAUUCAUCUCUUGGGCUACUUUUUCACUGUGGUUGCGUUAUAUUCCCUGGUCCCUGUCCUGCUGCAGUUGGCAUCUAUGUAUGGUGACAUGCAAAUGGAUAAAUGCUCAUGAACUCCUAGAUGUCACUGUAAAUACCCAGAAGUAGACCCAUAGUCUCUGUCCUCAAACAGCUUGUAACAUAAAUGAGGAUAUACAUUAAGCUCCAAAAAAAACCCCAGAGAUUAUUGGAAUGUUCUGUAGAAUUUACCGUGAUGCAGACUCUAAGAGCCCUGUCAUCUGGACAUGUGCUUGGAAGCUAUUUGUAGUGCACCUAUUAUGCACUUCGUACUCUGCUGAGUACUCAAGAGUCUGUGUGGAGAAAACUGAUAUGUUUUCUCAACUCCACUGAUAUUAAAGGCUGAAUGUCCCAAGAGUUCUCUAAAAAACAAAAUAAGAACAAAAACCAGGUGCGUUAUUGACUACUAUGAAACUUGUACUCUCGGGAAGAGUGGGGUGACAGUAAACAAGACAGUUUCCAACAGUGACAGGUGUGAUGAAGAAUGUGAAACCCAACAGUGGGAGAGAAUAACUGCAAAUGAGAGUGGGGAAUACCUCAGAGUGGGUGAACAGUGAAGGCCUUUCUCAGGAAAUGACGUAGGAUCUGAGACCACAUCCUAGAAGGCACCAUCUAUGAGAAGAGUUCCAAAAAAAUGCUUUUUACCACAAGAAGCAUCAAGAGCAAAGGUCCUAAACAAAAGCCGGCCUGAACAUUUAUACAACUAACUCAAAAAUCUAAUCGAAUACAGAGAAAAUACUAUGAAACUACCAAGGAGCAGGUAGCAGAUUCUAGGAGCCUAUAGCUGUGGCCAGAAACUUUUUCUAUAAAUGACCAGAUAGUAAAUAUUUCAGGUUUUGUGGCCAGGUGGUAUUUGUCACAAUUACUCAACUCCUCUGUUGUAGUACAAAAACUGGGAUAGACAAUAUGUAAAUAAGUGGGCUGGACUGUGUGCCAAUAAAACUUUAUUGUUAAAAACAGGCAGAGGGCUGUUCUGGCUUAUUGGCUGGAUUUUGCCAAUCUGUGAUUUACACUGUUAAACAAAGGACUUGCUCACACUGUGGCAGAUUGUGUAUCCAAGCUGGUCACUCCACUAUAUCCCAUCUCAAAUGCUCCUAUGACACUGUUUUAUUGACAUUCCUGCACUAAAAUGGAGUCUACACUCCCUCUCCUUGAAUUUGAGCAUUCUUCAGACCUCAGAUGCAUGGAAAGUGACUCCUGAAGUUGAAUCAUGAACACAUGAGGAAGUUUCACCUUUGGACACACGACAUGAAAGUCCUGGGUUUACAUGUAAAAAGUUCAUCUGCUCUGAAACUGCCUUGCUGGGGUGAUCACAUGAAGACAGUGCAUAAAGUUCCAGAUCUGAUCCGCUGGAGCUGUGUGAAUCAGUGACCUUUCAGAUGACUCCUGUUCCCAACCUUCUAGCCACUCUUCCUGAAGCCAAAUGGAACAGAGAUGGACUACCCUUGUUAAGCCUUUAUGAGAUUUCAGGUUCAUGAGCAAAGAAUAUGUUUUUGCUGUUUGAUGUCACUAAUUUUUGAAGGAGUUUUUGAUGUAACCAUAGAUCAUUAAUACCCUUUUAAAAUUAUUGUUUAAUCGCAUUUAAUUCUUUUACUGGCAUUCUAAGAGACUGUACAUUAUCCUUAUUUUAUGCAGGACUGAAACCCAAGCUCAGGGAAAGGAAUUCAUAAAACUUAAUUUCUAAAAAGUUGUUAUUUUAACAGAAUCACAAGUUAUUUAAGUAGCUGCAUGAAACUCUGGACUUUUAAACUCUAUUUCAUUUAUUUUAUUUUUCAGAAUUAAAACGUCCCCGGAUUCUUCUUCUUGCCUUUGAUUGCUUUGCAGAACUUUGCUGUUGUACAAGGAAUAUUUGUAAGUACACAUUGGAGUAUUUUAAUCAAAGCUACCCUUAAAUCCUUGUAUGGUAAUUCCAACAUCUGUGUCAUUUUGGUAUUGGUGUCUAUUGAUUGUCUUUCCUCAUUCAAGUUGAAAUUUUCUGUUUCUUGGUGAGAGAAUUUUGGACUGUAUCAUGGACUUUUUGAGUAUUGUAAGACUCUACUUCCUAUCUCUAGUUUAUGUUUUAGUAGGAUCAUAGUAAGCUUGGACUUCUAUAAAAAAUACUAUAAAUUGGGUUGCUUAUAAUUAGCAAGAAUUUAUUUCUUAAAGUUCUAGAGUCUGAACGUCUGUGAUCAGGGUGUCAUUGUGGUUGGGUUCUGGCAGGAGUCCUCUUCUGAGUUGCAGGCUGGCUAUUUCAGUGUAGCUGAGAAUAAGGAGAGGAAGCAAGCUUAUAAGGACACUGAUCCCAUUCAUGGGGACACCAUCCUGAUGACCUCACUCAAUCCUAAUUACCUUUCAAUGGUCUCACCUCCUAAUAGCAUUAUAUUGGGAGAAAAGUUUUCAACAUAUGAAUUUUGAGCAGCCAUAAAUAUUUAGCCCAUAGCAGGUAGUUAGCCAACCUGCUUAGGUUUAGAAUUCAUGUUCGGGCUCCCUUUGUGGUUUAAAUAUCAAAUUUAGUGCUUAUAGUCUAUAAAGUGAUGUACUUUUUCCUUUUUUAAAAGUUUUAUUGAAGUAUAAUUAAUUUACAAUGCAUGUUCCCAUUCGCCAGUCAUUCCCUAUACUACAGUUGUGCAUAUGCCAAUCCCAAACCCCCAGCCCAUCCCUCUUCCCUCCCUCUGUCCCCUUUGGUAACUGUAAGUUUGUUUUCAAAGCCUGUGAGUCUAUUUCUGUUCUGCAAAUAAGUCCAUUUGUAUCCUUUUUUUGGUAAAGAUAUCACAUAUAAGUGAUACUGUAUGAUGUUUGUCUUUUACUGUCUAACUUCUAUAAAGUGAUAUUCCGUCUGUUCAACUUGUAUGUUGCUCAGAUAACACUACUCCACCCUACAGUGUCCAUGGCUUUGUCUGGACAGGGGGAAGGGACUAUUUAGUUACUGCAGUGUAGGAGUGGAUAUCAUGACUGUGCCCAGAGGCUCCAUCCAGGAGUGGUGCUUUGUCCUUUCUCAAGUUCCCAAGGUCCCAAGCCAGUCACCCUUCUUUUCUCUACCUUCCAGAAUUUUCUACUAGAUAACUUACACAUUAUGCCCAGUUUUUUUUAUUAUUAUUAGCAAAGGAAAAUGGAAUGUUUACCAUACAUUCAGAACCAGCAGUCCUGAUUUAUUCUAAAGCCUAUUCUUCUUCCACUAUUUCAAACUGUUUUGAGGCUGUGAUAUUUGAAAUAGUAGGUGUCCUGCCCAUUUUUAAAUUGUAUCCUGAACAUUCAAAUACAUUCCUUCCACUGUUCUUGUCUGCUCAAUUUUUCUAUUUUCCUCUGCCUAACAAUAUGUCAUAGGUACAUCCAGGCUAAUUUUUUCUUUCCUAUGUGAUUCUUUCAUCCCCUAUCAUAUCAUGUCUCUAAAGAGAGGGACACUCCUGUCACUAGUCAUAUUCAAGUCACUGAUUGGCAUAGUUCACUAGUGUGUGGAAUCACAGCAUGUUUUGAGGAGGAGGUAUGGGGGAGGCAUUCUUUUCUGUACUGUCACAACAUGAAGAUCCAGAGUAAAAUCCAGGGGGAAAGCGGGGUCCCCUCACCCUAUCGUCCUUCUUCCUCUUCCAUACAUUUAUCCUCAUGAAUAAUUGGUGCAAGGGCAAGAGUGGGAACAGGUCCACCCAUUUCUUUCCCUGCCUCCCUUCUUCCCUUUUAAAAAUUUUUCUUCUAUGUAAUUGAAGUGAGGAAAGCUUAGUUUGUUCCCAAAUGAAAGGUCUUACCCUUGGCCUCCUGUUCUUCUUUGUAAUCAUCCAGAGUGUUUCUAAUAUUUGGGACUAGGAUUAGGCACUGAAGAAAAUAAAACAGAGCUGGAAAACUCAUGGAGUAUUAAGUUUCCUUUUGGUCUAGUCCAGGGUCCCU
This 4414-nucleotide long non-coding RNA is filed under the name Sus scrofa (pig). Its description in RNAcentral is "lncRNA (ENSSSCG00040066043.1)". Lineage: Eukaryota; Metazoa; Chordata; Mammalia; Artiodactyla; Suidae. The record is from RNAcentral.